RNAcentral lists this non-coding RNA (30 nucleotides) under Mus musculus (house mouse). Lineage: Eukaryota; Metazoa; Chordata; Mammalia; Rodentia; Muridae. The record is from RNAcentral.
UAGAUUAUUUUUCUCCUUUGUGUUCACUCC